Molecule: ribosomal RNA, 397 nt
Filed under: uncultured bacterium
Lineage: Bacteria
Description: partial 16S ribosomal RNA
Rfam family: Bacterial small subunit ribosomal RNA
Source: RNAcentral
AUACGUAGGUGACAAGCGUUAUCCGGAUUUACUGGGCGUAAAGGGCGUGUAGGCGGUCUUGCAAGUCAGAAGUGAAAUUCCUGAGCUCAACUCGGGCGCUGCUUCUGAAACUGCAGGACUUGAGUGCUGGAGGGGAUAGCGGAAUUCCUAGUGGAGCGGUAAAAUGCGCAGAUAUUAGGAAGAACACCGGUGGCGAAGGCGGCUAUCUGGACAGUAACUGACGCUGAGGCGCGAAAGCGGGGGGAGCAAACAGGAUUAGAUACCCGGGUAGUUCACGCCGUAAACGAUGAAUACUAGGUGUAGGGGGUAUCGACUCCCUCUGUGCCGCAGUUAACACAAUAAGUAUUCCGCCUGGGGAGUACGGCCGCAAGGUUGAAACUCAAAGGAAUUGACGGGG